AGAGUUUGAUCCUGGCUCAGAUUGAACGCUGGCGGCAUGCCUUACACAUGCAAGUCGAACGGGGUAGCAAUACCUAGUGGCAGACGGGUGAGUAACACGUGGUCAACCUGCCUUUGUGUGGGGGAUAACUAGCCGAAAGGUUAGCUAAUACCGCAUACGAUCGCUCGGGGGCAUCCCUAAGCGAUGAAAGAAGCAAUUCG
This 200-nucleotide ribosomal RNA is filed under the name uncultured bacterium. RNAcentral describes it as "partial 16S ribosomal RNA". It matches the Rfam family "Bacterial small subunit ribosomal RNA", at positions 8 to 217 of the family's 1533-position model. The record is from RNAcentral.